RNAcentral lists this ribosomal RNA (253 nucleotides) under uncultured bacterium. Its description in RNAcentral is "partial 16S ribosomal RNA". It matches the Rfam family "Bacterial small subunit ribosomal RNA", at positions 524 to 776 of the family's 1533-position model. The record is from RNAcentral.
UACGUAGGUGGCAAGCGAUACUCGGAAUCACUAGGCGUAAAGCGCAGGUAGGAGGUUUAGUAAGUCUGUUGUGAAAGCUCCCGGCUUAACUGGGAGAGGUCAACGGAAACUGCUAGGCUAGAGUGCGGUAGAGGUAGCUGGAAUUCCCGGUGUAGCGGUGAAAUGCGUAGAUAUCUGGAGGAACACCGGUGGCGAAGGCGGCAUUCUGGACCAACACUGACGCUGAGGAGCGAAAGCCAGGGGAGCAAACGGG